Molecule: long non-coding RNA, 1006 nt
Organism: Haemorhous mexicanus (house finch)
Lineage: Eukaryota; Metazoa; Chordata; Aves; Passeriformes; Fringillidae
Exons: 3
Source: RefSeq, a predicted model, not a curated record
UUGGAUGGCUUGAUAGACUCAUCCAGACUGAGCAGCUGUCUUUCCUAGACCAGACUUAGCCAACUUCUCACUGGCAGCUGAAAAGCCACUUAUUUCAUGCAAUUUACAGGACAACUUUAACUGGUUUUCAUGACAACUAAUUUCAACCCAAGUUUUGCCUGUAAUUUGAGAUCUCUGCCAAUGAGCUUACAUCAAACAAAAUUGUUGAGAGAAGACAGAUUAAAAAAACCAAAUGCCAACAAGAGAGAAAAACCAGUGCUCUGCCAAGGCUGGCUGUAGGAAAGGGAUGGCAGCCAUCCAGAAGCAAAGACGAAAUUCUCAAAGCAAGAAGAAAGCUGAAAGAACCAGCUGGGUAAAAGGAAACACAUGGAGAGAAAAUGCAAAUGUGACACUAAGCCAGGGACCAAGCAGGUAACAAUACAUCUGAUGGAUUCAAUGAAACUAAAACAACCAAUGCCACUGGGUUUGCUUGAGUCUAAUAUUAGUCUAAGAGAAGCUGACACUUCAGGUAAUAUGAUCUUUUUUAAGAAGUGUUUUGUAAAUCUUUCUGGGAAGGCAAGAAAACCAUGUUAAGCUUAUUUACCUUGCUUAAAUGAGUCUUUAGACAUAGGCAUAUAAGUUGUUAGUUGCAGUACUUCACUUGCAGAGCAAAGGGAUUAGAGAUACUUCCCCUGUCCUUUGCCAUUUUCACCAGUUUUGCUCUUUGCUAUUUCUUAAAACUCCUUACUCAGAACUAUAUCUGAAGUAUAUAUAUGUCUGUAUUAUGAACCUGGAGGUCAGAGUUCCCAUUCUUCAAAGAAAAAUUAUUAAUUUAAGCAUUUGACUUGUUAGUGCUGUACAGGUGUUACACCAAUUGAAAACAAAGACGUUGAGGAUAUUCAAGUGAGGUCUCCAGAGUUUAUCAGUGUGCUGGUUGAACAUCACAUGUAUGUAAUCUAACAAGAUGCAGCAAUGUUUUUUCAUUUGAAUGCUGAACUCAAAUCAAAAUCACCAGCAGAGAAAUUGA